AUGCUGCUGAUGUCAAACACCAAGAUUAGCUUGCUUUCUGAGUUACAUGACAAAGAAUUCAACUGGAAUGUGUGUGUGCUCGUGUCUCGUCUGUGGCACUACCGUGGGGCAACUGAUCAUGGACCUAUCAUUCAUACUGACCUUGUGGUGAUUUAUAAAGAGGGAACCCACAUGUACGCCCAGAUACCUGCUGACGAAUCACCCCGCUUGAUGCAAGACCUAGAAGAGGGGAAGGUCUUUCUUUUCAGGAAGUUCCUGUGUAACCCAUCAAGGCCGGCUUUCAAGGUUGUUGACAACCCUUUCAUGAUUCAGUGCACUCGAUACACCACUGUUGUGGCUCAGGAAGAUUUGGAGGAUGCAUAUCCAUAUUGUACCUACAACCUUGUGCCCUUUCCGGAAAUCCCAAAGCCAGGUGGCAAGGCCCCUUAUUUCCUUGAUGUGAUUGGGCAAAUCACAGCAGUGUCUGAUGUCAUCUCUGUGCAAUCUAUGUAUCAGACGCAACCCUCGGACACAAGGACUAUUGUUCUACAAGAUCAGCUUGGCAAUGAAAUGAAACUCACCCUUUGGGGUGCUCGUGCACGCGAAUUCGAGGCUGAACAGGUUUAUGCUGCAGGCGAAACAGGCGCUGUCAUAGCCAUCUUUGUAGGAGUGCUGCCAAAAAUGUUACAAGGUGUUAAAUCAUUGAGUGGUAGUUCUGCAUGCCGUUGGUACAUAGACGAAGAUUUGCCG
RNAcentral lists this ribosomal RNA (729 nucleotides) under Triticum aestivum (bread wheat). RNAcentral describes it as "partial small subunit ribosomal RNA". The record is from RNAcentral. Lineage: Eukaryota; Viridiplantae; Streptophyta; Magnoliopsida; Poales; Poaceae.